RNAcentral lists this ribosomal RNA (169 nucleotides) under uncultured Clostridium sp. RNAcentral describes it as "partial 16S ribosomal RNA". It matches the Rfam family "Bacterial small subunit ribosomal RNA", at positions 338 to 524 of the family's 1533-position model. The record is from RNAcentral. Lineage: Bacteria; Bacillati; Bacillota; Clostridia; Eubacteriales; Clostridiaceae.
CCUACGGGAGGCAGCAGUGGGGAAUAUUGCACAAUGGGCGAAAGCCUGAUGCAGCAACGCCGCGUGAGUGAUGACGGUCUUCGGAUUGUAAAACUCUGUCUUCAGGGACGAUAAUGACGGUACCUGAGGAGGAAGCCACGGCUAACUACGUGCCAGCAGCCGCGGUAAU